GUAGGUGGCAAGCGUUGUCCGGAAUUAUUGGGCGUAAAGCGCGCGCAGGUGGUUCUUUAAGUCUGAUGUGAAAGCCCCCGGGCUCAACCGGGGAGGGUCAUUGGAAACUGGGGAACUUGAGUGCAGGAGAGGAAAGUGGAAUUCCACGUGUAGCGGUGAAAUGCGUAGAUAUGUGGAGGAACACCAGUGGCGAAGGCGACUUUCUGGCCUGUAACUGACACUGAGGCGCGAAAGCGUGGGGAGCAAACAGGACUAGAUACCCUGGUAGUCCACGCCGUAAACGAUGAGUGCUAAGUGUUGGGGGGUUUCCGCCCCUCAGUGCUGCAGCUAACGCAUUAAGCACUCCGCCUGGGGAGUACGGUCGCAAAGACUG
RNAcentral lists this ribosomal RNA (373 nucleotides) under uncultured organism. Its description in RNAcentral is "partial 16S ribosomal RNA". It matches the Rfam family "Bacterial small subunit ribosomal RNA", at positions 527 to 896 of the family's 1533-position model. The record is from RNAcentral.